AGAGGCUUAGGAUAGCACCAGACCAAGGGCCUUCAAAGCCUUAAGCGGGAGUGAAAAUCUCCCAGCCCCUG
RNAcentral lists this transfer RNA (71 nucleotides) under Rhinogobius formosanus. Its description in RNAcentral is "tRNA-Trp". It matches the Rfam family "tRNA". Rfam says of the family: Transfer RNA (tRNA) molecules are approximately 80 nucleotides in length. The record is from RNAcentral. Lineage: Eukaryota; Metazoa; Chordata; Actinopteri; Gobiiformes; Gobiidae.